RNAcentral lists this ribosomal RNA (499 nucleotides) under uncultured bacterium. RNAcentral's name for it is "partial 16S ribosomal RNA". It matches the Rfam family "Bacterial small subunit ribosomal RNA", at positions 28 to 507 of the family's 1533-position model. The record is from RNAcentral.
GACGAACGCUGGCGGCGUGCCUAAUACAUGCAAGUCGAGCGAAGUUUUUCUGGUGCUUGCACUAGAAAAACUUAGCAGCGAACGGGUGAGUAACACGUAAAGAACCUGCCUCAUAGACUGGGACAACUAUUGGAAACGAUAGCUAAUACCGGAUAACAGUAUUUCUCGCAUGAGAGAUAUUUAAAAGUUGGUUAUGCUAACACUAUGAGAUGGCUUUGCGGUGCAUUAGCUAGUUGGUGGGGUAAAGGCCCACCAAGGCGACGAUGCAUAGCCGACCUGAGAGGGUGAUCGGCCACACUGGGACUGAGACACGGCCCAGACUCCUACGGGAGGCAGCAGUAGGGAAUCUUCCGCAAUGGGCGAAAGCCUGACGGAGCAACGCCGCGUGAGUGAAGAAGGAUUUCGGUUCGUAAAGCUCUGUUGUUAGGGAAGAAUGGAUGUGUAGUAACUAUACAUGUAAGAGACGGUACCUAACCAGAAAGCCACGGCUAACUACGUG